GGUCAGGAUGAACGCUAGCGACAGGCUAACACAUGCAAGUCGAGGGGCAGCAUAGAAGUAGCAAUACUCGGUGGCGACCGGCGCACGGGUGAGUAACGCGUAUGCAACCUACCUAUCAGGAGGGGAAUAACCCGGCGAAAGUCGGACUAAUACCGCAUAAAACAGGGGCACCGCAUGGUGAUAUUUGUUAAAGAAAUUCGCUGAUAGAUGGGCAUGCGUUCCAUUAGGUAGUUGGUGAGGUAACGGCUCACCAAGCCGACGAUGGAUAGGGGAACUGAGAGGUUGGUCCCCCACACUGGUACUGAGACACGGACCAGACUCCUACGGGAGGCAGCAGUGAGGAAUAUUGGUCAAUGGGCGGGAGCCUGAACCAGCCAAGUCGCGUGAAGGAAGAAGGAUCUAUGGUUCGUAAACUUCUUUUGCAGGGGAAUAAAGUGCAGGACGUGUCCUGUUUUGUAUGUACCCUGAGAAUAAGGAUCGGCUAACUCCGUGCCAGCCGCCGC
This 503-nucleotide ribosomal RNA is filed under the name uncultured bacterium. RNAcentral describes it as "bacterial SSU rRNA". It matches the Rfam family "Bacterial small subunit ribosomal RNA", at positions 22 to 518 of the family's 1533-position model. The record is from RNAcentral.